Long non-coding RNA from Oncorhynchus masou masou (cherry salmon), 257 nucleotides. RefSeq lists it as uncharacterized. The transcript has 3 exons. Lineage: Eukaryota; Metazoa; Chordata; Actinopteri; Salmoniformes; Salmonidae. The record is from RefSeq and is a predicted model, not a curated record.
CAGAGCAGGAAGAGGAGAAGGAAGAGGAGAAGGAGGAGGAGAAGGAGGAGGAAUUGGCAAACUCAGGCUACACAUGGUCACAUGGAAUGUGGCGACAGCAGAGCCUCCUGGUGAUGUCAUUUCCUUGCUGCAGCUGGACGCACAGCCUGCCACAGACCUCUACGUGAUUGGUCUUCAGGAGGUAAAUGCAGCUCCUCUGAGGUUUCUGUCAGACCUGCUGGUAGAAGACUCUUGGAGCCACCUACUGAUGAACACAC